AAGGAUUUAAGUUAAGUAAACUAGGAAUCUUCAAAGUUCCAAUUAUAGGCCCCCCCCCUUUAAGCCUUG
This 69-nucleotide transfer RNA is filed under the name Agathidium nigripenne. RNAcentral describes it as "tRNA-Trp". Lineage: Eukaryota; Metazoa; Arthropoda; Insecta; Coleoptera; Leiodidae. The record is from RNAcentral.